RNAcentral lists this ribosomal RNA (253 nucleotides) under uncultured prokaryote. RNAcentral's name for it is "partial 16S ribosomal RNA". It matches the Rfam family "Bacterial small subunit ribosomal RNA", at positions 525 to 777 of the family's 1533-position model. The record is from RNAcentral.
ACAGAGGUCCCAAGCGUUGUUCGGAUUCAUUGGGCGUAAAGGGUGCGUAGGUGGCAUGGUUAGUCGGGUGUGAAAUCCCGGGGCUCAACCCCGGAACUGCACUCGAUACUGCCGUGCUGGAGUACUGGAGAGGAGACUGGAAUUUACGGUGUAGCAGUGAAAUGCGUAGAUAUCGUAAGGAAGACCGGUGGCGAAAGCUAGUCUCUGGACAGUCACUGACACUGAGGCACGAAGGCUAGGGGAGCAAACGGGA